UAGCUUAGUCCGUAAAGCACUUGUGUAGCAUAUAAGGGUCGUGAGUUAAAAUCUCAC
Non-coding RNA from Aedes albopictus (Asian tiger mosquito), 57 nucleotides. Lineage: Eukaryota; Metazoa; Arthropoda; Insecta; Diptera; Culicidae. The record is from Rfam.